This 94-nucleotide microRNA precursor is filed under the name Patiria miniata (bat star). RNAcentral describes it as "microRNA pmi-mir-193 precursor". Its record names the gene pmi-mir-193. The record is from miRBase by way of RNAcentral. Lineage: Eukaryota; Metazoa; Echinodermata; Asteroidea; Valvatida; Asterinidae.
CUCUAUUCUGGUUUGGGAACGAGGUUGUCCUGGGGCUCAGUAUGUGGGUCCAUAUCAUCAUACUGGCCAGCACAAUCCCGUUCUCAGGCUAUGA